Aethalodelphis obliquidens (Pacific white-sided dolphin) is the source of this 5492-nucleotide long non-coding RNA. RefSeq lists it as uncharacterized. The transcript has 3 exons. The record is from RefSeq and is a predicted model, not a curated record. NCBI's taxonomy places the organism in Eukaryota, Metazoa, Chordata, Mammalia, Artiodactyla, Delphinidae.
ACACACACACACACACACACACACACACACACACACGUAUGAUAAACCGGUCAGUGGUCAGCCCCCAGACCUGCGGAGCAGAUUUCCAGGUUUUCUUUCUGAUGUGUUGCCUGUAAGCAAUAAGAUUCUAGGUAAUAGCAUUUAUUCCGGGCUCUGCGUUAGCCCUUGUCUCAGAGGAUAGGGUGGGGGUAGAACAGCUCUUGCUAAGACCUCUUGCCUUUGCUGGAGAGGUUGCUGUACUUGAAUUUUUGCUUCUGUUUGUCUGCACGCUCCUUCACAUCAUACGACACUAGCGAUGGAUGAGAAAUCUGCCAGCACCAGACACAUCAAAAAUUGGGCAUAGAGACUGAAAAAUUAUCAAUUUUCCAUGAAUUUGUAGGGUUUACAGAAUCUAGCUGAGGCAAAACGCAUUUGGCUGUAGCGUAAGUGUAAGAACCUUUCACAUUAAAAAUGUAAAUGGCCAAUAAAAAGUCCUUUGACUGUAUCUGAGCUACCUUUAAGAGCUAGCCCAUUUCCUGUACUCCUCCUCUGUGCCUGAGUUUGAAAUAUCUGAAGCCCCCUCCGUGUCUGGGGUUAAAUCAUUUCGGUUCAUGCAAAGAGGGCAGUUGCCUCUCCAAGCGUCCCAGCGUGUUCAGCCCAACAGAUUUCUAAGCUGUUUAGCAGCCUCUCCUUGUGACCGUCCUGAACUUUAUGAAAAAUACCCCACACCCAGAUAACCAUUAAUAGAAUAAUGUAGUUUUUUAGGCUUUUGGAAUAUGUCUUCUCUUUUGUAUUUAUGAUGGUGUUUGGAAUUUUUCACUAGUGUUUUUUUAGAUUGAAGUGGGUGCAUUAGGAUAAAACUUUCCAUUGCUGAGCCUGAAGCAAGCAAGGGGAAAGAAGCGGACCUAUGUUGUGUCUUGGGGAAGGUGACUACUUCUUGUGGUGGGGGGAGGGCGGGGGUGCGUUAUAGAUUAUGUGGGGUAAAAUAGAAUUCCGCCCUGAGGCUCCCGAGUCUUACGGCCUUGUAAUAAAGAAUCCCUUUAUUAGCCUCACGUAAUCUCAAUAGAAGCCUGCUGUUUACCCUCAGGGAACAAGUAGUUUUCAAAAUUGAGCUCCUCCCAGGUCAUUGGCCAGUGCCUGUGUGCAGGCACUGGUCAUCUUUGUGAACUCAUGGCAUUAUUUUCCCAUACGUAUUAUGAUAUUAAGAAAUUCAACCCCAACCUGUAUGAAAAGCACAGCCCAGGGUCCUACUUUUAGGCUAGAGUUAAUGCCUUUGAGAGGCCAGGGGGUCAUAGGAGGCCCAUGCAAUUUAACUGAAGCUCAGGUGCCGUGUUGGGUUUUUAUUGGUUUCAGGCCACAGCCUUCAGAAUGAGUUUAGGGCAGGGCUGCUGAUCCGGCUGUGGAUCCAGGGAGCUCUAAGAUGAAUCUCUACCGUUCCUGUAAAGGUCUUUCUGGUUCUUCCCAGUGUUGUCAUUGCCGAGGUCAAUCUCGUAGUUGUUCAGACGUGCUCCUUUUUGCUGUCUUGUGAGUCUUAGCCAGCGAUCCAGAUGCCCAAGGACAGAGUCUUCAGAGGGCCUAGCUCCUUCCUGGUACCAAGUGUGUGAUCCUGACCCGUGUGAAGGCGGUCUUGUCAAAAGUAGUGAAAUGAGGAUUUCUGCAAACGGUAAUCCGGAUGGUCAGCAUGUAUCCCUUGGGCCUGGACUUCCACUAUGUUAGUGAGUGUAGGAAAAUACUGUGUCUUUUAUGGAAGAAAAUUCAAUGUAUGCUGUGAAUUUGUUGGUUUGAAACAUUGAAAAUUUUUCAUUAGACAAUGUUUACAUACCUCACCUGAAGAACCUUUGAGAGUGUAUAUAUGAGAUUUAAAAUAUAUUAAGUUGCUUUAAAACAAUAUGUAUAGCUAUAAAAGUUGGAGUUAUUUUAACUUUGAAUAUGUACCAAGUCUCUUAAAUAUUGAAAUCUUGUGGACUUUUUGUGCUUCUGUGUUUUACUUUCCUAUUAGACCAUGUAGGAAACUGUGUUCUUGUUAUUGGUAAAGGGGCCCUCACUGAAAUCCAAGCUUGGAAGGAUUUCCUUUGUUGUUUCAGAUUUUCUAGUUUGGUUUUGAGGGUUGGGUUAUGGAGCUAGAGGAUGUGUGGGUGGGAUUUCUCUAACGUUGACAUCUAUUCCAUGAGCUUUUCCUAGGCGCUUAUUUUAUUGCAGCGUAUUAAACUUCUUUGAUAUUAAAGUGUGUUUGUGUAGUUACUGGAGAGGGUACAGAACGCGUUGAAGCCCAGCAUUCAACUUGUAGCCUGCGGCAAAGUUGUUAAGUUGCCGGAAGGAACCGAAAAGCAAUACUUCUUACUACUUUUGCCUCGGCCACUGGUGUUGGGACUUAAAGGAACAUCGUUUGGUAGAUCUGUGGCCAUUUUGUGAGUUACGCCUGACUUCAGGGAAUAGAAAACACAAUGGAUGAUCCUUGGGAGUUCGCAUGGCAGAAUUGGGAAGGUGCCGGUGCUUCAUCCUGAGGUGCAAGGAGCAACUGGAUCCGCGCUUCUGACCUCAGUAGGGAACCACGUCUCUAUCCCUGCUGCUUUAUCAGAAGUGGCAGUACAGAUGGUGGGCUGAAGGGCAUGCGCCAACGUGAUUCAUUUAGGUAAGUAACCUACUGGCCUCUCCAGACGCUUGAGCUUACAACCCUAUUUUAACCUGUUUUCUGUCCUCUACCUGGUUCAUUACAUUUGCUCCCAAAUCCCUCAUUGCUUUGAAGGCACUGCAGUUACCAUCACUGCCCACUUUCAAGGUGACCAUGUGCUGUUAAGGUGUGGCAUAUGUGACCGUCACCACGAGCGGGAAAUCAGUUUAUGGUCCUGCAUCAGAGGAGGGCCAGCAGGGUCCCCUUGGUGUCAGGGGGCUUGCCCAGCCUCACUGCCAGGGCCUGGCCUCACCAAGACACUGAGGUCACUCAUCCUACAAAGCUCAAUUUGAGUGCAAUUCUGUGGUCUGAAGUCAUAGUAGAACCAUGUUAAAUAUGGGCAUGGCUCUGUACACAAACUUACAAAACGUGGGUGUGACCCUUGGAGAGAAGUGAGGAUGGACAGCCUCCCCAGAUCCGUGUGUGCUGUGCCGUGUCAGGCUCUGUUCUCACACUGACAUCCCCAGGGAGCUAUGACUAAGCCACCCCCCCAGACCUCCCCUUCCUUCUUCAGGAGGAACAAGCCUCCUUUGCCACUUCAGGAAGGCUAGAGAGUUCCAAGGGCAGAUACCCUACAUGUGCUGUGUCUGGGCUCUAUGCCUGGAUUGUGGCUGGUUUAUGGGCAGCGCAGAAACUCUCGCCCGUGCGAGGUUGUGUGUCAGCAGCCCUGGGCUCAUCCUUGAUGCAGAAAAAGAGAUCAACAAAGGCAGAACCUGAGUGAAUCAAUUUCAUGUUCACAGGGAGACAACAGACAAUAUCCAACAUGUUCUAAAAUAACACGUCUCAGGACAGGGCAGGUGUGGCUCCCCCAGGGGCUUGUUCUAAACCAGUCUCUUUAAAAGAGUGAUCCAAACAAGACUACAGAACCCCCCCACCCCAAACCAAACCAAAUGUCACAACUACAUAGCAUCUGAAAAGCAAAGCAAGACACUGGAUGUUGACUUUAACAUAUAAAAAUACUAUAACAAAAUGAAAUACAAAUAUAUAUUAGAAUCUGUUAAGUAUUCUGUGUAAAGAGAUACUUUCAUGGUUAGGCUAACAGCAGGCAAAGAAGAGACAAAGUCCAGGCUUUUCCGUUUCCUGACACCCGCACAGGGAGCCGGGGCCACUGUCGCCUGCAGUGCUGCCAAAGCAGCAGCAGCUUUGGGACUUGCCCUGCUUGUGUCUCUUCAGUAGAACCAGCCGAGGACGACGUCCAAGUGAGCUGGAUUCUUUACCAAAGGGGUGGCAAGGCUUGGAAAUGGUUUCUCAGAUGAUUUCACGGCAGCCUUCUUCUGGGACUCGGCAGGCCCAAACGGGAACAGGCAAGGUGUGUGGUGAUCCAGUUCCUUAGCAACUUUCGGGUUGGUGGUUCAGUUGAGGAAAACUUGAUCCUGGGGCGCAUGGGUCUCUCGGCCCCUUGCUGCCCUCACCCUUGUGGUGUAUCCCAGUCUUCUGGCUCGACCAAGGGUGAGUAUGGAGCUGGGCUGGGGCGUGGGGUGCUGUGGAGGGGUGGACAGCGGUGGCAGCAAGCUCGCAGGGUGCUCCCUGCAAACAAACACUCCAUCCUCUGCCCUCCCAAACCCAUGGCACUGGGAGUGCAGGACUCCUGGCAGCCAGUAUCUGUCUGCAGGUGCCCUUUCCACUUCUGCAGAGCAAAGAGGUCCUGCCAGACAUCGCCCCUCAAGCCCAGGAAACGGUUUCUGCAGCUGAGGAGACUGAGGCCCAUGAGGAAGAAGUUUGCCCAGAGUGACAGAGCCAGCGGAGGUUUCCUGAUGUCUGGACCACGGCUCCCUACUGGUCUGCGGCAUGAGGUGAUCUGAACCCCGUCUACAUGGGAGGAGACCCCUCCUUGGCUUGGCAGCCUAGCCCAAGCCCCCUACACCCCAAGUCCCCCUGCUACCUAGAAGCUGAUGGCUGGCUAAUGGCUGGGGAAGCCCAGGACCAAUGCCCCUUGGUGGCUAGUGUCUGGAGGUGGUGAUGUUUAUUCAGUUGGAACCAGAAGCUCUCUGUCCUUUUUGCUGGUGGCGUCCCCCCGCUAAGCAGUCCCAGCGGUGGUUUCCUCCGCAUGAGCACCCUCCUUGAUAUUACAAUGCUCGUCCCAUGACUCUGGGAUUCAGAGGUCUGGUCCUAAAACCACCUCCACCCCCUGGCCCGUUCCCAAGCAAGCAGUGGCUGCAGCACUGCCAGGCAGCCCAGGGGGCAGGGCUUGGUCCCUUCCUGGCCAGCAGGAGGGGGCCCUUCCCCUUCGCAGCCUGGCCUACUGCCAGCAGACGCUGCAGCAGCAGAAGCUGAGAGCCAGGCCGGCUGCCCCAGCGCAGGCUCAAAGUACGUCAAGGUUAUCUGCAGGGGGGCAAGGGGCUUCUGGGACCCGCACAGGCCACAGGUGAGAGGGCAAGGCUGGUUUGGGAAGGGGCAGUCCGAUCUUCAGACCCAGGUAGCAGGCAAGGAGGAGGUGUCACUAUUCUGCACUUCUUGGCCUGACCUCACGCACACAUUCAUUCAACAAAUGUUUAUUAAGCGCCUAUUUGUGCAAGGCACUUCCGGAGAGGGCGGGCUGCGGCCCGGGCCACGCCCACCCGCCCCGCCCCGCCCCAAGCUGCGGCGCCGUUUGCUUUAGAAAGGUGGUUCUGGCUGCCCCCCCCCCCCACGGGAGGGCCGGUAGCCCAAGCGUCGCCGUGGUGAUGGCCCGCACCCCAGCCCAGCUGCCGGCCAUUCGGUCUGCGCUGCGGCCGCGCCCCCUCGCCCGCCCUCUCCCCUCCCCAUCCACGCCGGGCGCUAAGCGCAGAAGGCACAGCCACACUUGGUGGGCUUCUCCACCUCCUCGGCAAAAGAGGUCCCGUCGCUGCACUCAAAGGUGAAC